Molecule: ribosomal RNA, 374 nt
Filed under: uncultured organism
Description: partial 16S ribosomal RNA
Rfam family: Bacterial small subunit ribosomal RNA
Source: RNAcentral
GGAGGGAGCUAGCGUUGUUCGGGAAUUACUGGGGCGUAAAGCGCGCGUAGGCGGACUUUCAAGUCAGGGGGUGAAAUCCCGAGGGCUCAACCUCGGGAACUGCCUUUGAUACUGAUAGUCUUGAGUCCGAGAGAGGUGAGUGGAAUUCCUAGUGUAGAGGUGAAAUUCGUAGAUAUUAGGAAGAACACCAGUGGCGAAGGCGGCUCACUGGCUCGGUACUGACGCUGAGGCGCGAAAGCGUGGGGAGCAAACAGGAUUAGAUACCCUGGUAGUCCACGCCGUAAACUAUGGAUGCUAGCCGUCGGGGAGCAUGCUCUUCGGUGGCGCAGCUAACGCAUUAAGCAUCCCGCCUGGGGAGUACGGUCGCAAGAUUA